AGAAAGUAUGGGCGAUGUUGGCUGUUGUUUUUCGCUCCAGUCAGAUUUUUCAGGUCGACAGAUAAAAUUGAUUUCCAUGUAUUCGUAGAUGAGAUGGGUUAUUGCCAUCUAAGAAUCCCACUAAGGCUGAUGUUGAGGAAGCACCAUUCGUCGAGUUUUAACCAGCUUUCUAUUGCUAUAGGACUCGAGCUGCAUACUUAGUGCUUGUCCCGGCGAAUGCUGAUUGAAUUUCCGUUGGUAACUUCUCAGCUCGGUUCAAUAACAAUUAGAGCAUACAAUUUCGGCCAAUGGCGAGGGGUGCAUAAGUCUCCGGUGGUGUUCUACGGGUCUCCAAAUGGGGUGCCUCCAAAAAGACCAUCUAGUUUGCUGCGAUUGCUGAAUGAGAUACAGGUUGAUUUUGUAUGCUAUGAGUUGAUUUUCAAGCAUAGAAUGGACUUUAGAAAGAAAGCAUCUCUCCACGUGAUUUGUCAGUUAAUAGUCUCAUGGGGGUGGUUUUUGAUUUUCUUCUUGAUAUCUAUUUAUCUGUUAUAGCCAAUUCCAAGUUCCAGCUUUUGCUUCUAACUCUUGAUUGUUUCUGAGUGUCAAGCAAUAGACUGAAUGAAAAGCCAUAAGUAGAAGUAGGAAGUAAAAAGGACUGGGUGGCGAAACGAGUUUUGUUUGUAAUGUCAUGUAGUGCAUAAUAGCGCUAGUACUUGAAAAGCAUUUGGUGACAUUACUUAGAACUUCUGUCUAACACUUAAUGUAACAGUAUUUGCUUGUCAUUUGGGUUUUUGAAAUCUAAGUUUGGCUCGACCAUCAACAAAUUCUUUGCCAGGGUCUGCCUUGUCACUUAUACUUUGCUUUGGAGUUCCAUAAGAGGCAAAAUGCUGAUAAAAUGGAGAUGAGAUGGAUGAUCUUCUGAUAUUAGUUGUCUUGGCGGUGUUGCUUGAAAAGUACUCAAUCCAGGGAAACCAAGAAUGGGUAGUGAAGCGUGAUUCUUCAACUAAAGGUAGGCUGACUUUGUAUCUUGCUACUUCUAUUAACUAUCAUUGCAUCGGUAGUCAUGGAUGGUGUAUGCAAUACACACUCACAUACUAUGAGCUUCAUCUUUAUGCCUUUGGAUAUCUUGACAUAAAUUUGUGUAGACAUCCCAUCAGGUGAAAGGCUGUCUUGUUCUUUUUCACAGUGCCUUCCAGCUACAAAUUUCCAUUAUUCUUCUUGAGACCUUUCACGUUUGAUGCGAGAGAACUGUGUUAGGUUUAUUGAAGAAAAGCAGCUUUAAAUGAGGUCUCUGAUACCUGUGUGGUCCAUCUUUGUUCGAGUAGUGACUUAUCUUAACAUUUCAUUUUUGAGGAAUAUUGCACUUAAAAGCAGUUAUGAAGAUGGAAAUAAAAAAAUAUUGUAACUUUGAAUGAUGUACCUCUUUUGGAAGUUGAGACAAUUUUGAUUUCAUGGAUAGGAUUGAGGGAAACAUAUUGCAUGUUGUGCUUAUCUUAGAUUGGGCUAUCUGGGCAACAUUAUUCAAUUGAUCUUCCAUUUAGGGGAUGAGUUCAGUAUGAUACUUCUUUUGAAUGAGCAUUGAGUGUUGGAGCUGCAUUGAACACUACCCAGAUGCUUUCCUUGCCGCAGUGAUUUUAUCUUUUUCCCCUCUUUGAAGCCAAUUAUCCUACCUCAAGUCACAAUUUCCAGGCAUAAAGUCAGAGAGAAGGGGCAGCUGAAGACUGGUUAUAAAUUCACAGUGCCGGGUCACUGGAAAGUACUGGUCGAGUGAUGCUAAUGGCACAGCUAAGAUGAUUUACGCAUGGUACACUAGAACUAUGUGUCAGAUUUGAAGUGAAUUUGAGAUUCAGGCAGGGAAGAAUCUGCAACUUGAUGAGUCAGCAUGUGCCUUAUGAUUACUACAUCUGCCUAUCAAAACACUAGCAAUAUCUUGUGUUAUACAUUUUUUUCCCUUGUCUAUGUUAAAUCUUUCCAUGGAAUAUAACAAGAUUUUUGUAGUGUCAAUAGCAGCAUUGCUUGCAUGCAGGAAAAUUUUCUCGUCAUUUGAUACCAAAGGCUGCGUUUAAGGACUACUCCCAUGUGGGUGCAUUAAUUCGGAGUGCAAGGGAGACAGACAGAAGAUAUGAAAAGUUGUCUGUCAAGAAAGAUUCCAGCACAUCGACAGGUCAGAUAUUUGUGGACACUGCUGUCUAUUCAAGGAAUUGAUGCUUUUUCUUUGGCUCUAUCAUCCAAGGGAGGCAAGAGUUCUGUCCUUCAGCCGAUUGGGCUUUUCAAAUGCAAGGACAUGGUACGUUACUCCUUGUAAUUUGAGGUCUACAGACUCAUGAAACAUCUUUGGAACAUUGGUGUGAUGAAUUGUUCCUAGUUCGCUCAAAAUGUUCCUCAAAACUACUAGCAAAGGGUUCUUUUAUGCCUUUGUAUCAUUUGAGAAGGUUAGAUUAACACAUGAGAAAAUGUGCAUAUGCACCCUGAGAAGAGAAUUUAUUGUGAUAGUGCUUGAAACAGUAGUGAAUCUAUCCCAGUUGCUCCUUAAAGGUUCAUGUGCUCAUUGACGCUCAAAAUGAGCUUACUCUCUCCUGGCAGCGUGAGGAAGACAUGAUCAUGGCUUUUUUGAUCUGCAUUGCGGAUUUUGAUUGUCACAAGCUCCUAGCCUGCAAAUGGAGUUAGAUUGUGGAAAGAAACUUCAGUUUGAUACAGAGGUAGUUACAAAUUUGAAUCAGUUCUUGUAUUUGGAUCUCUUCAUGAACUGUAUUCAUAUGAUUUGCUGUACAUAUUAUUAUCAGCAAAAAUAUUAUUUGUCUUGAGUUGGUGGAGCUAAUUUCAGGAAACAUCUUUGCAUAGUGGACUAGUGUGCUAGAAUUCUAUGUGGUCUCUCAUGUGAUGGGACUUUUUCUCCCCUACGCAGGUUAAUAUUGAUUUGGGAAGGUACUGUCUUGCUUCGCAAGAAUUUAAUUUCAACUCUUUCAUUAGAGAUAGUUCGGUGAAUUGUUUCACUCGAAAGUCGCCUUUCCCAAUGUUGGAUAAAUUCAUAGAAUCUGUAGCCUCAAUUGGAACUGUAUUAGGUGAUCGCUGUAGUUUUAUUUUUAGAUAAACAGAGUGAUGAAUCAUUUCAGUUGCUUCAUAGUUCAUAGAAUUCUACCUGAGACUGUGUAGGAUAUUAAAGUUAGCGACCUGAAAGAAUUUUAAUGGGACUGAUAUGUCUUAUUUGAAAAGAAGC
Molecule: long non-coding RNA, 3196 nt
Organism: Eucalyptus grandis
Lineage: Eukaryota; Viridiplantae; Streptophyta; Magnoliopsida; Myrtales; Myrtaceae
Exons: 2
Source: RefSeq, a predicted model, not a curated record